Erinaceus europaeus (western European hedgehog) is the source of this 298-nucleotide unclassified non-coding RNA. Its record names the gene 7SK. It matches the Rfam family "7SK RNA". Rfam says of the family: 7SK was discovered as an abundant small nuclear RNA in the mid-70s but a possible function has only recently been suggested. Two independent studies have found that 7SK RNA binds the CDK9/cyclin T complex (known as elongation factor P-TEFb). P-TEFb activates transcription by phosphorylating the C-terminal domain of RNA polymerase II. The record is from Ensembl. Lineage: Eukaryota; Metazoa; Chordata; Mammalia; Eulipotyphla; Erinaceidae.
GGAUGUGAAGGCAAUCUGGCUGUGACAUCUGUCACCCCAUUGAUCACAAGGGUUGAUUUGGCUGAUCUGGCUGGCUAGGCAAGUUUCCCCUUCCUUCCUAACUGCUCCAUGUGCAUUGAAAAUAGCCUUGCUUGAAUCGAGACGGACCGGUCUUCAUUGGAGGGUAUACAAGUAGCUGCGCUCCCCUGCUAGAACCUCCAAACAAGUUCUUCAAGAUAUACUACAGAACAAUUUGUUUAAUAAUCAGGAACCUAAAGGCAAAAAAUAUAGCAGAUGAGAUUCGGGAGGGUCUUCAUUU